This is a non-coding RNA of Chlorocebus sabaeus (green monkey), 809 nucleotides long. NCBI's taxonomy places the organism in Eukaryota, Metazoa, Chordata, Mammalia, Primates, Cercopithecidae. The record is from the annotation of a RefSeq genome assembly.
UGGAAGGGGUGUGGCAGGUUAACUUUGCAGCUCAACUAUUUGUCAGGGGCACUGAUGUCAUCGAGUCACUAAGAACCUAAGUUCUAUUUUCCCAAGCAGGGCUGGGAGACAUGAGAUCCUGGCCUGGACCUGAAAUGGGCACAAGGUUCUUCUUCUAUGUGGCCCUUUGUCUCCUGUGGACAGGACACACGGAUGCUGGAAUCACCCAGAGCCCAAGACACAAGAUCACAGAGACAGGAACACCAGUGACUCUGAGGUGUCACCAGACUGAGAACCACUGCUAUAUGUACUGGUAUCGACAAGACCUGGGGCAUGGGCUGAGGCUGAUCCAUUACUCAUAUGGUGUUGAAGACACUGACAAAGUAGAAGUCUCAGAUGGCUACAGUGUCUCUAGAUCAAAGACAGAGGAUUUCCUCCUCACUCUGGAGUCCGCUACCCGCUCCCAGACAUCUGUGUACCUUUGUGCCAGCAGUGAACCCACAGUGCUGCACGGCUGCCUCCUCUCUGCACGUAAAGGGCAGUUAGAAAGACUGAGGUUGCUCUGUGUCUGUCCCCACCCCGGGCAGUCCAGGCCUCCACAGGAGUCAGAGAGCCCUGGCCAGCCUGGAGGCCAUAGAGCAGGGGCCUUAGGACCCUCAGUGCUGACGUCCAUUCCUACCCCAGUCUCAAACCAACUGGAGGUCACCCCAACACCCUUAGCUCGCCUAGUCUCUCUUCUGCAGCUCCUGGACUUCUUCUCUCACCUGUGGGCUUCAGUGACUUCUUCAUCUGCCCCUUUCCCCAUCCUCCACUAUCCCUUCCACUCAUAG